This is an RNA transcript of Hibiscus syriacus, 1025 nucleotides long. RefSeq lists it as uncharacterized. NCBI's taxonomy places the organism in Eukaryota, Viridiplantae, Streptophyta, Magnoliopsida, Malvales, Malvaceae. The record is from RefSeq and is a predicted model, not a curated record. The transcript has 3 exons.
GAACAGCUGAUCUCUUUCGAUUUGGUUACUUCAUGGCCACAUAAUACUCUCCUCUUAGCUGUAGAUUUUUCUCUGAUAUCUCCCCCCUAUGGUUGCCUCCAAACCCAAGCAUGGCUAUUUCUCUUAACUCAGUCUUCGGCUUCAAUUUUAAGUAUGUCACGAGAUCUUCUGUUGGAGCUUCAGUGUUUAAGGCAAACACCAUCGUUUCUCCCUUGCAAAUGUAUGGCUCUGGGGGAUUUAUACACCAAAAAAGAUGGGGACUAUGUCUUUCACUCGCGGACAGUGACCCACUAUCUGCUGAUAGCAGCAUAAAGGCUUCCGAAGAGGCCGAGAGACUGGUUUCCGAUGAUCGAGAUUCGGCCAUGAAUCCCCCAUCAUUGGAUGAUGAAUCGCGCUCUCAAAACUCUGAGGCUAGUAAUGGUUCAAUGGUUUCUUCAAUUCCAGAGCAGGAUGUGUCAUCGUCUCCAAACUUGCAGUCUACGACAAGAAAAGUUUCUUUAACAGCUAAAGAAAGAUUAAGGGCAGCUCGGGUUCUCAGCCGUUAUACAGAGUCGAAGCCAUCAAAAUCAGAGAUGGGAAGUAAAGUAUUGGAUGCUAUGAGGGAAGGUGAUAAGGGGAAAAAGAGAAGUCGACUUCCUGAAGCACCUACGAAUUUGUUCGAUGACAGCAAGCGAGGAUUACCAAAGCCAGGCCUCACGUUUCAGUUUCCAGGAGGAAACGAUCUCCUUCUCAUCAUCUUCUCGGUGGUCUUUAUCAGCACAGUAAUGUUCACUACAACUUACAUAGUAUGGAAAGUUGGGGCUAUACAUUUUAAUGAGUACUAGGGCUACAAUAAGGUUCAAAUGUUCAAGCACCAUCACUGAAGAUGGCAUGGCAUCUUUGAUUUCAGGAUGUUUUAUUAUCAAUGCUUUAAGUAAAGUCUCAAGUUCGAGUAUUUGUGUAUGUGGAAGAUCCCUACGGGAAGAUUCACCCACCAAAGUCAUGUGCGACAUGAAUCGUUCACGAUUAGUCAAGACGAAGCAUCG